UUGUGAAAUUACUCCAAUUAUUUAAAGUUUACCUUUUGCAUAAUGGUUUAAUUAAAUUUUAAGAGAUCCUACUUCUCGAAAUAAAAAGAUCUAAUAAAAUUAUAGUAAUAUGUUUUAAAAUAUUAUUUUUAAAUUUUAUUAGGUGUGAAAGGCUAGUCAAUUUUUAUGAUAUCUGGAUAAGAUAUAAAUGUAUUUAGUACAGGCAAAAGCUGAAGAACCCCCUGUUAAGGGAGGGUUCAUAAAGAAUAAUUUUUAUUUUUAUUAUUUAGGAUAAUUCUAUAAUAAUUACUAUAAACCAGAUUAUAAAUUAAUUUGUUUCUUUAAAGUUUUUCUAGAAAAUUGACAAUUACCUUAAUUUUCCAUAAUGUUAAAAUAAGUAUUAUUAAUAAUUAAAAUAUAGGAACUCGGCAAAUUAAUACUCAACUGUUUAUCAAAAACAUAGUUUUAUGAAAAUAUAUAAAAUGAAUUCUGCCCAAUGAAAUUUUAAUGGCCGCAGUACUUUAACUGUGCUAAGGUAGCAUAAUAAUUUGGCUUUUAAUUAAGGUCUGGUAUGAAAGGAUUUUAUGGGUAAUAGCUGUCUUUAUUUCACUUCUAAAAAUUUACUUAAAAGGUGAAAAUUCCUUUAACUUUAAAAUAGACGAGAAGACCCUAGGAGUUUUCGUUUUGUUGGGGCGACAUUUUAGUAAACUAACCUAAAGAAUAGUGAAACGGUUAUAUCAAUUAAAAAUAAACUACCCUAGGGAUAACAGCAUAAUUAUACUUUUGUUUGUGACCUCGAUGUUGGACUAGG
RNAcentral lists this ribosomal RNA (790 nucleotides) under Allenoconcha margaretae. RNAcentral's name for it is "partial large subunit ribosomal RNA". The stretch from base 421 to 566 matches the Rfam family "Bacterial large subunit ribosomal RNA", at positions 1797 to 2006 of the family's 2925-position model. Lineage: Eukaryota; Metazoa; Mollusca; Gastropoda; Stylommatophora; Microcystidae. The record is from RNAcentral.